This 298-nucleotide ribosomal RNA is filed under the name uncultured bacterium. RNAcentral's name for it is "partial 16S ribosomal RNA". It matches the Rfam family "Bacterial small subunit ribosomal RNA", at positions 335 to 631 of the family's 1533-position model. The record is from RNAcentral.
UCACCUACGGGGGGCAGCAGUGAGGAAUAUUGGUCAAUGGGCGGGAGCCUGAACCAGCCAAGCCGCGUGAGGGAAGAAGGUACAGCGUAUCGUAAACCUCUUUUGUCAGGGAACAAAGGCGGGGACUAGUCCCCGGAUGAGGGUACCUGAAGAAAAAGCAUCGGCUAACUCCGUGCCAGCAGCCGCGGUAAUACGGAGGAUGCGAGCGUUAUCCGGAUUUAUUGGGUUUAAAGGGUGCGCAGGCGGUCUGUUAAGUCAGCGGUCAAAGCCCGGGGCUCAACCUCGCUCCGCCGUUGAA